This 513-nucleotide ribosomal RNA is filed under the name Candida albicans. Its description in RNAcentral is "eukaryotic LSU rRNA". It matches the Rfam family "Eukaryotic large subunit ribosomal RNA", at positions 93 to 583 of the family's 3401-position model. The record is from RNAcentral. Lineage: Eukaryota; Fungi; Ascomycota; Pichiomycetes; Serinales; Debaryomycetaceae.
GUGAGCGGCAAAGCUCAAAUUUGAAAUCUGGCGUCUUUGGCGUCCGAGAAUGUAAUUUGAAGAAGGUAUCUUUGGGCCCGGCUCUUGUCUAUGUUCCUUGGAACAGGACGUCACAGAGGGUGAGAAUCCCGUGCGAUGAGAUGACCCGGGUCUGUGUAAAGUUCCUUCGACGAGUCGAGUUGUUUGGGAAUGCAGCUCUAAGUGGGUGGUAAAUUCCAUCUAAAGCUAAAUAUUGGCGAGAGACCGAUAGCGAACAAGUACAGUGAUGGAAAGAUGAAAAGAACUUUGAAAAGAGAGUGAAAAAGUACGUGAAAUUGUUGAAAGGGAAGGGCUUGAGAUCAGACUUGGUAUUUUGCAUGUUGCUCUCUCGGGGGCGGCCGCUGCGGUUUACCGGGCCAGCAUCGGUUUGGAGCGGCAGGAUAAUGGCGGAGGAAUGUGGCACGGCUUCUGCUGUGUGUUAUAGCCUCUGACGAUGCUGCCAGCCUAGACCGAGGACUGCGGUUUUUUACCUAG